AUCCCUUUGAGGACAUUCAAUUAAAUUUGAACGAUACAGAGAAGAUCAGCAUGAUCCCUACGCAAGGAUAACAUACACAAACCUAUGACAACACCAAAAUAUGU
Solanum stenotomum is the source of this 104-nucleotide small nuclear RNA. The record is from RefSeq and is a predicted model, not a curated record. NCBI's taxonomy places the organism in Eukaryota, Viridiplantae, Streptophyta, Magnoliopsida, Solanales, Solanaceae.